Molecule: long non-coding RNA, 2527 nt
Organism: Pseudophryne corroboree (corroboree frog)
Lineage: Eukaryota; Metazoa; Chordata; Amphibia; Anura; Myobatrachidae
Exons: 6
Source: RefSeq, a predicted model, not a curated record
AUACCAAGUACAGACGAGUGCUAUACAGUAGUCCAAGUACCGUACAAAUACUAUAGCAUUUCCAGGAUAGUACUAGGCCAGCUCCUGUGAGGAGCUCAUGCUGCAGAGAAAGCAAUGUCUGCAGACAAUGUCAUGCAAUGACCAUACAUGGCAGAAGCUGAUCUGUCCCAAGCAAAUCUGAAAGGAAAACUCUGCGACUGUGGGAAAAACACUGUGCCGCAGGGUUUUUCAAAACUCCCGCACACAGUUGAAUAUGCUGGAGGCUCUCUUUGAGGUGGCCCCUUGCACCCCAAGAAGAGCAUGCAGAUCUCCCGCAUCCUUCCCCUACUGAAAGCGGGCAGGAUAGAGAGAUAAUCCCUGGCAUUCACGUGUAUAUGAGGAGGGGUUAAAAUGAUGUGGACACACAAAUCCCUGCGGUUUCCCACUGUGGGAGCGGGGCUUGAAGAUGUCAAAGCUGGCCCCGCACCGAAGUUCUCCGCAUCGUCUCUGCUCCGGGCUUCUCCCAGAAAGGAGAAAAAAAAACAGAAGGUGGUAGGAGUGACGCACCUCCCUGUCCGAUAUCUGUGUAGUGUACUGCGAUGCUGAACUAAGAGAAGCUCUACUCGUACCUGAUGUGGCCUCCAGAACUGAACACAGAACUCUAGAUGAGGCUGUACCAAUGACCUCUUACUUCUUACUUUCCUGCCACUGAUUCCUUUCCACAUGCAACCAGACAUCUGACUAGCCUUCCUCAUUGCUUUGUUACAUUGCUUCCCGGUCUUCAAGUCACCUAAAAUAGUGAUUCCUAGAUCCCUUUCCUCCUCAGUAGUGUCCAUUAUAGUACACUUGAUACUAUAUGCAGCCUUUGGUUUUUUUUAGUCCCAAGUGCAUCAUUUAGCAUUUUUUUUUUUACAUUAAACUGUAGUUGCAACAUUAUUAUCCAUUACUCUAGUUUACCUAGAGCCUCAAUCAUUUGUUUUACCCCUCCUGGUGUGUCUAUCCUGUUGCAUACCUUUGUGUCAUCUGCAAAAAGUCAUACUUUAGCUUCAAAACCGUUUGCAAUGCGCACCAACAAAGAUAUUAAAAUGCACUGGCCCAAGUACAGAUCUCUGGGGUACUCCAGUGGCAACAUUUCCCUCCUGUGAAUGCAUUCAAUUUACUAGAAUUUUCUGUUCCUCUCCUGCAACAAAGAUCUUAUAAAUUCAACUGUCCAAGAAUCCAAUUCCAAUGUUUCCAGUUUAUAUAGCAGCCUGCAGUGUGGUUAUCUAAAGCCUUACUAAAGUCUAGAUAUGCCACAUCCACAGCACCCCUUGAUCUAUUACUUUAGUCACCCAAUCACAAUAGUCAAUAAGAUUGUUUGACAUGAUUUGACCCCGGUAAAUCCAUGUUGUUUGGGAUCUUGUAAAUUGCUGGAUUUGAGAGAUUCCACAGCUCCCUCAUUUAAUAAUGUUUCCAUUACUUUCAUGUUUUAUACGUUUUCCCUCUAUACUAAGCAAUCUGGAAAUGUCUGUGUUAAAACGGAACGGAUUGCAAAUAAUGCAUUAUACAAUGUUUCAAUGAACACCAGCUUCAUCACACAGCCCCUUUAUGAUCAAACUUUGAUCUCAUAAUGUUGUUAACACUUUCAUAGCCUUAGCUGGAUGAAUUCAAAGCUUCCAGUUCCUUGUAAUUCAAAUUUAGCCUUUAAUUCAAACCAUGUGUAUUUAUUGUAGUAAUUAUUAUUAUUAUUAUUAUUAUUCAUAAUGAACUCUACCCCAGGCUCAGACUUUAUCAAUUCAAAUGUAUAUGGUUUAGGCCAGUGGUUCUCAAACUCGGUCCUCAGGACCCCACACGGUUCACGUUUUCCAUGUCACCCAGCAGCUGCACUGUGUAUCACCAACUGUCACAUUUUAAAAAUCUACAGGUGACCUGCAAAACAUGGACCGUGUGGGGUCCUGAGGACCGAGUUUGAAAACCUGGGGUUUAGGCAAUGGCAUUUGGCAGUGUUUUCAUUUUAUUGUGUAUAUUAUAGUACUUGUGUACUUGUGUAUAUUAUAUUACUUGUGUACAUUAUAGUACUUGUGUACAUUAUAGUACUUGUGUAUAUUACAGUACUUGUGUACUUGUGUUCAUUAUAGUACUUGUGUAUAUUAUAGUACUUGUGUACAUUAUAGUACAGGUUGAGUAUCCCUUAUCCAAAAUGCUUGGGACCAGAGGUAUUUUGGAUAUCGGAUUUUUCCGUAUUUUGGAAUAAUUGCAUACCAUAAUGAUAUAUCAUGGUGAUAUUACCUAAAUCUAAGCAGAGAAUGCAUUUAUGUUUCAUAUACAACUUAUACACACAGCCUGAAGGUAGUUUUAGCCAAUAUUUUUGAUAACUUUGUGCAUUAAACAAAGUGUGUGUACAUUCACACAAUUCAUUUAUGUUUCACAUACACCUUAUACACACAGGUCAUUUAAUACAAUGUUUUUAAUAACAUUGUGUAUUAAACAAAGUUUGUGUACAUUGAGCCAUCAAAAAACAAAGCUUUCACUAUAUCACUCUCACUCAAAAAAGUCCGUAUUUCGGAAU